GGAAAAAACAAGGUAUUGUUCAGAUUUAUGAUUUUUGGGGUCAAAGAUUCUGAGCAAUAACCUAUUAAAAAACC
Gorilla gorilla gorilla (western lowland gorilla) is the source of this 74-nucleotide microRNA precursor. The record is from Ensembl. NCBI's taxonomy places the organism in Eukaryota, Metazoa, Chordata, Mammalia, Primates, Hominidae.